Molecule: long non-coding RNA, 858 nt
Organism: Papaver somniferum (opium poppy)
Lineage: Eukaryota; Viridiplantae; Streptophyta; Magnoliopsida; Ranunculales; Papaveraceae
Exons: 4
Source: RefSeq, a predicted model, not a curated record
GGAGAUUCACGAAUUACAAAUCGUGACUAUACAUCUCGUUUUUCCGUUUCCCGAGAUUCCACUCCUAAUCGUAAAAAAAGAGACGGGAAACCUAAAAUAUUAACCUAAUUAUCUAUCCCUGCCUCUGUCUCUUCGCCUCCCCCACCAUCACCAAAGACAACUAAAAAUGAGAAUUAGGAACCCUAACUCGAUCUCUUCUUUUUUUCCAUCUAAACUCAUCAAAUAAAUCUGAAAAUUUGGAUUCACUAUAACUCUUUCGACCACCGAAAUCUAUAGAGGAAUAUUACUGAUCUAUUGCUGCUACUUCGAUUAUUUCUGCAACAACUUUUUGUUCAACUAGGUCAAAGUUCAGAUGUUCAAAAUGUUUUGAAACCUCCUCUUGGUGCAGUAAAGGAAUUGAAGUUAGCAAUCAAGAAGAAAACAAAUUAAAUCAAAUAAGAAAUCAUCAUAUUUCAUGGCGUGGUUUGAUCUUUAGAUUCUCACAUAAUUUAAGGAGGCAUGUAUGGGGUAACUUUUGCCUUUUGUACCACAAUGAGAAGCUAAUAGACGACAAGUCUAUGCUUCAAGACUUUGGCAUGCGUAUUUCGUAGGUAGAAAUACUGAUAUCUUUGGUCGUGGCAACUUCUUUGGAUUACCGUUAUGGUUUUAUAUGGGAAUUUUAUUGAUUUUUAAGGUUAUUGAUGGUAAAUGCAGAACUUGUAAUUAAGUGCAAACGUAUAAAAUUUCUUGAUGGAUUUGGAUUCUCUCGGUUGCAGUCUCUCAUUACUUAUGGCAUGUAGUUAAGGGAAUUAUGUUGUUCGACUUGGUCACCAUUUGAUUUUCUAUAAUUAUAUGCAGCAUGCAGCAGUUUGGUCUUUA